RNAcentral lists this ribosomal RNA (301 nucleotides) under uncultured bacterium. RNAcentral describes it as "partial 16S ribosomal RNA". It matches the Rfam family "Bacterial small subunit ribosomal RNA", at positions 509 to 807 of the family's 1533-position model. The record is from RNAcentral.
CAGCCGCCACGGGAAUACGUAGGGUGCGAGCGUUAAUCGGAAUUACCGGGCGUAAAGCGUGCGCAGGCGGUUAUAUAAGACAGAUGUGAAAUCCCCGGGCUCAACCUGGGAACUGCAUUUGAGACUGUAUGGCUAGAGUGUGUCAGAGGGGGGUAGAAUUCCACGUGUGGCAGUGAAAUGCGUAGAUAUGUGGAGGAAUACCGAUGGCGAAGGCAGCCCCCUGGGAUAACACUGACGCUCAUGCACGAAAGCGUGGGGAGCAAACAGGAUUAGAUACCCCUGUAGUCCCUGUCUCUUAUAC